GACGAACGCUGGCGGCGUGCUUAACACAUGCAAGUCGAACGGAAAGGCCCUGCUAUUUUGGGGUGCUCGAGUGGCGAACGGGUGAGUAACACGUGAGUAACCUGCCCUUGACUUUGGGAUAACUUCAGGAAACUGGGGCUAAUACCGGAUAGGAGCUCCUGCUGCAUGGUGGGGGUUGGAACGUUUCGGCGGUUGGGGAUGGACUCGCGGCUUAUCAGCUUGUUGGUGGGGUAGUGGCUUACCAAGGCUUUGACGGGUAGCCGGCCUGAGAGGGGGACCGGGCACAUUGGGACUGAGAUACGGCCCAGACGCCUACGGGGGGCAGCAGUGGGGAAUAUUGCACAAUGGGCGGAAGCCUGAUGCAGCAACGCCGCGGGCGGGAUGACGGCCUGCGGGUUGUAAACCGCUUUCGCCUGUGACGAAGCGGGAGUGACGGUAAUGGGUAAAGAAGCACCGGCUAACUACGUG
This 468-nucleotide ribosomal RNA is filed under the name uncultured bacterium. RNAcentral describes it as "partial 16S ribosomal RNA". It matches the Rfam family "Bacterial small subunit ribosomal RNA", at positions 28 to 507 of the family's 1533-position model. The record is from RNAcentral.